CGAGCGGACAGAAGGGAGCUUGCUCCCGGAUGUUAGCGGCGGACGGGUGAGUAACACGUGGGUAACCUGCCUGUAAGACUGGGAUAACUCCGGGAAACCGGAGCUAAUACCGGAUAGUUCCUUGAACCGCAUGGUUCAAGGAUGAAAGACGGUUUCGGCUGUCACUUACAGAUGGACCCGCGGCGCAUUAGCUAGUUGGUGAGGUAACGGCUCACCAAGGCGACGAUGCGUAGCCGACCUGAGAGGGUGAUCGGCCACACUGGGACUGAGACACGGCCCAGACUCCUACGGGAGGCAGCAGUAGGGAAUCUUCCGCAAUGGACGAAAGUCUGACGGAGCAACGCCGCGUGAGUGAUGAAGGUUUUCGGAUCGUAAAGCUCUGUUGUUAGGGAAGAACAAGUGCAAGAGUAACUGCUUGCACCUUGACGGUACCUAACCAGAAAGCCACGGCUAACUACGUGCCAGCAGCCGCGGUAAUACGUAGGUGGCAAGCGUUGUCCGGAAUUAUUGGGCGUAAAGGGCUCGCAGGCGGUUUCUUAAGUCUGAUGUGAAAGCCCCCGGCUCAACCGGGGAGGGUCAUUGGAAACUGGGAAACUUGAGUGCAGAAGAGGAGAGUGGAAUUCCACGUGUAGCGGUGAAAUGCGUAGAGAUGUGGAGGAACACCAGUGGCGAAGGCGACUCUCUGGUCUGUAACUGACGCUGAGGAGCGAAAGCGUGGGGAGCGAACAGGAUUAGAUACCCUGGUAGUCCACGCCGUAAACGAUGAGUGCUAAGUGUUAGGGGGGUUUCCGCCCCUUAGUGCUGCAGCUAACGCAUUAAGCACUCCGCCUGGGGAGUACGGUCGCAAGACUGAAACUCAAAGGAAUUGACGGG
RNAcentral lists this ribosomal RNA (873 nucleotides) under Bacillus aerophilus. RNAcentral describes it as "bacterial SSU rRNA". It matches the Rfam family "Bacterial small subunit ribosomal RNA", at positions 63 to 917 of the family's 1533-position model. Lineage: Bacteria; Bacillati; Bacillota; Bacilli; Caryophanales; Bacillaceae. The record is from RNAcentral.